This 695-nucleotide ribosomal RNA is filed under the name uncultured bacterium. RNAcentral's name for it is "bacterial SSU rRNA". It matches the Rfam family "Bacterial small subunit ribosomal RNA", at positions 8 to 748 of the family's 1533-position model. The record is from RNAcentral.
AGAGUUUGAUCAUGGCUCAGAACGUACGCUGGCGGCACGCCUAACACAUGCAAGUCGAACGAAGUAGCAAUACUUAGUGGCAGACGGGUGAGUAACAUGUAGGUAUCUGCCCUUUGGCCUGGAAUAACACGAGGAAACUUGUGCUAAUACCGGAUAAGUCUUUACGGAGAAAGCUUUAUGCACCAUUGGAUGAGCCUGCACUUGAUUAGUUUGUUGGUGGGGUAAUGGCCUACCAAGACGAUGAUCAAUAGCUGAUUUGAGAGGAUGAUCAGCCACAUUGGGACUGAGACACGGCCCAAACUCCUACGGGAGGCAGCAGUGGGGAAUCUUGCACAAUGGAGGAAACUCUGAUGCAGCGAUGCCGCGUGAGUGAAGAAGGCCCUUGGGUUGUAAAGCUCUUUCGUCGGGGAAGAAAAUGACUGUACCCGAAUAAGAAGGUCCGGCUAACUUCGUGCCAGCAGCCGCGGUAAUACGAAGGGACCUAGCGUAGUUCGGAAUUACUGGGCUUAAAGAGUUCGUAGGUGGUUGAAAAAGUUGGUGGUGAAAUCCCAGAGCUUAACUCUGGAACUGCCAUCAAAACUUUUCAGCUAGAGUAUGAUAGAGGAAAGCAGAAUUUCUAGUGUAGAGGUGAAAUUCGUAGAUAUUAGAAAGAAUACCGAUUGCGAAGGCAGCUUUCUGGAUCAUUACUGACACUG